GAAACACAGGAGGUUUGAGUCUGGACCACAGAUUGACAAAUUCAAUUCAAAGUGUCAGGUGGAAGGUUAAGAGCUUGUUCUAAAAGGCCCCAUUAUGAAACUUAUCUCCACAACAGCUCUCAGGAGUACAUUACAAAACACCCACCUGAAGAAUGUAUUUUCUUUUGUAAAUAUUCUCUUCCAUUUCUGGACGGCACCCGGACCCGGCUCAGCAAAACCAGCAAGUGACUUGGAGAUUGCUAGCAACAGAGGACAUGGAUUCCUUGCUUUUCACAACAACUGAACUCUCCUGGAUGCUCCAAAGACUCCUCUGGUGUUCUCUUCUUCCUAUGAGGCAUUAAAUGUGAAAUAAGGUCUUGCUUGGCAGUUUGCCACCAAGUAUCCUUUUGCAACUUCUGUAACCCAUGCUUAUAGCACCGCGGAGCUCUGUAAUGCAUAUUGGAGUGCUGUGAACACAGGCUACUUCCAGGCAAUGAGUUAGUUGUCAUUGUUUUAAAUAAGUAGCAUGUUACUGCAAUUCCACUAUUACAAAUACAGAAGCUUGCUCUGUUUUUUAGAUUCUUUAGGAUCUGGAGAAAACAACAACCUGUUAACUCUGAUCUAUGGGACGGGCUCUGCUGUUCUGGCACAGAGUAGGCACUUCAGAAUGCUUGUUGAAUAAACAGACAUGAUUUUCCAAAUACUAAUUUUUGGAUUUCAAGAGAAAGACUAGUUGAGAACAUACUUUCUCUGGACAGUGUUUUCUAUAGCAAAAAGAUCGAUCUAAAAAAGUAUGAAUGUAUUUAUGGCAUAUGUCAAAAGAAGUUGUAAUCUGAGACUAUCUUUGGGAAUUACAGACACUCAUAGGCAUUGCGCUUGAGGACAUCCACAUGGCAAGGACAUACCUUCAAAGAGUGUACAGAAUCUGGAGAGGCAGCAUAUGUGCGUGUGCACCUCCCCACACACACACUGAUUGAGCAAUUAGGAGACUAACUAAGCCCUCCCACAUAGAUGGCCCCCUUGUUAAAACGACAAAUUCUCCAGAUGGCUUGGACAUGAACCUUGAAUUUCUUUGCCAAAAGACAGCAGCAGAGUCUAAUGCAGGUCAUAUUAGAAACCAAGGGGAAAAUGAAAGACAUAAUUAAGUCCUUUGGGAUGAAGUUAGCCAUCAAAAUGAAAGAAAUACAGACCUUUCCCAUAAGAUUAGCCAUCAAAAGCAGAUAUUCGCAAGAGCAUACCUCUAGAAGGAGAAAGGAAAAGUCCCUUUUCCUGUCCCCUAAGGCCAUUUGAUCCAUAUGGAGAAAAAUCCCACGUACUUUUCAGGAAGUCAUAGGAGGUUCAUGUAUAGAUACAUGUUCAUAUUUUCCCAAUUGAGGUUAUUUAUAUUAAAAAAAAAAAAUCUGAACCCCGCCCGUCCCUCUUCUGGUGACUGCUCAUUCUUUGAGUGACUCCACUUGCCAAACUACUUCAUUUUUUUGUUAUUGUUUUGCUUUCCUUCUAAGUCUUGUGUUCGUUUUCCCCUAAAUUAAUAUGCUUGCUGGUAAGCUGGUCUCCAAGCGUGAAGUCAUUUCUCAUGUGCGUGUUUUGCAGGCACCGCUGACAGUCAGCUCUUGAGUGCAGUCAUGCUGUCGACUUGACCCGACUUGCCUCCACUGGAACAAGAAGGCACAAACAGCCCUCUCCACCCCAUGGCUGCCUGAGGUGGGGUGGGGCAGAGUCCACAGAAGGUGCUUCUUUUUCUUGGCUACCUAACAUCUCCCCACCACCACCACUCCAAAUUGGUUGCCAAUCUGGGCUUCACCCCUUCUUGCU
Molecule: long non-coding RNA, 1791 nt
Filed under: Marmota monax (woodchuck)
Lineage: Eukaryota; Metazoa; Chordata; Mammalia; Rodentia; Sciuridae
Source: RNAcentral